AUCUUGACACUUUCCUAGCAUUUAUGUUAUAAACCACCACUGAAAACAGGAAGUGGCAGCCUCCUGGACAGACUUCCUCUUGUCUUGGUGCAGCUGCACUCAGCGAUAGCAUCCCUGCCAGUCGGUCCGUGUCUCUCCUGUCCAAUUGUCCCCGCGGUCCCACAACGGGUCUGUGUCCAGACGUAUGCGAGUGUGUGUCUGGCCGCAUGGCGUGGCGCUGUGUCCUGUGGCCCUCUGCUCCCGUCAUGUGAAGAUGAAUGGAACUCUGUCACUUGGGCCGGUCUUCAGAGGCCCGCGCUCUGCGUGAGGAAAGUGCCAGUCAUUAACGGCGGAGGCAGGAUGAAAAAUGAGUUCAUUUACGGACAAGUCCUGCGAGAAGGAGUGAUCCAGUUUACGAAUGAAUCAUACCCACAUACUGCAGCGUCUCACCAAGAACGAGCUUACGAUUUAUUCCUGAGACAGAAGGAAAAAUAUAAAGAUUAAAGAAAUAUGUUGGGCUCUUUUAAACUUCACGUCUCUGGAUGGCAUCCAAGUCCUGCUGUCAAUUACCACUGACACUCAUUUUGAUUCACCCCUAAGCCAAGGCGAUGAGAGAGACUGGUAAAGGAGGAAGCUUCAUAACUGUGGACCGUUCCAUCGCCUGGAGGGUAUGGGGGGAGAAAGAGAGGCUUGGCAGGAGGGCCUGAGCGUGUAAUUAAAGCAAGCAGUUAAUUAAAGCAAGCAAAAAACCACUUUGAACACCUGGCAACCAUCCACAACAUUGUAGUAUCAUGGUUUGGAAUGAGAUGAAGGUUGCGAUUAAUCAUGUAGGCAGUAAAACGAAUCUCCACCGCAAGACUUCAUUUUCCCUUGUCCGGCUGAUUGUUAAUUUGAUCCUAUUGAUUCCUAAUUUAGAGAGUGCUGUCAGGGUCACGUCCUCUCCUGACCAGUAGUACAGGCCCUCGUGGAGUACGGUACCCAUGAACAACUCUGUGGGACAGAGUGAUUAUGAAUAAUAAACAAAUACGCACAAACAACGCCCACGUUCUCAACCUUUCUGCAUCGCCCCUGCAGCGCAGCAGCAGUCACAAAUAAAUACACUGUGCUGUUGCAUAGUCUGACUCAUCUGGUUGAGUCAGCGCUCAAUUUGUAAGCAAACCAGGUCAGAAACUGAGAUCUGUAAAUGCAGAGUGGUGGUUGGGCCUUGAUUGCUAAAAUGAUUGUCAGUGUAAGGUUAAGUGAUCAAGACUAGCUCAUAACCAUUUGAGAGGAAAAAAAAAAAAAGCUAUAUCUUGACACACCAAGCCAGACAUAUUGUCCAUACUGUAUAAGGAGUUCAGUAUAUGUACACUACUUUUCAAAUGUUUAGGGUUGGGUUUUUUAAUGUUCUGAAAGAAGACUCACCAAUUUUGCAUUUAUUCUGAUAAAAAUACAGUAAAAUUAGGAAUAUUGUAAAAUAUUAUUGCAAUUUAAAAUAACUAUUUUCUAUUUUAAUAUAUUUUAAAAUGUAAUUUAUUCCUGUGAUGCAAAGCUGAA
Long non-coding RNA from Megalobrama amblycephala (Wuchang bream), 1515 nucleotides. RefSeq lists it as uncharacterized. The transcript has 6 exons. The record is from RefSeq and is a predicted model, not a curated record. Lineage: Eukaryota; Metazoa; Chordata; Actinopteri; Cypriniformes; Xenocyprididae.